UCUGCGAAGGUGCAUUAGCUGGACAAACUCUUUCUUUCCUGUAACUAUCACUUAUCUCAAGAAAUCGAAAAAUCAAUCCACACAAUAUUUAUACCCUCACAUACACACAUUACAUAUACGUAAAUAUAUAAGUAUAUAUACACACGUAAUAGAUAGUGUUAAAUCAAUGUUUUGUUUUGUUUUGAUUGUUUUUUUCAAGAAAAGGGACAUUCGUACAUACUGACAGUUUUAGUCACCACUUAUAAAAGACUGUUGCUUUAAAAUGAAAAUGAAAAUAUAGAGCCAGACGAUGAAAGACAGAAAAAUGAAUUAGGAACAAACGGAAGAAAGUGAGAUACAGUCAUUUAACUGAAGUCAUGCUGGAGCACUGCCUUCUAGUCAGAGAAAUCAACCCCAGGACUUAUACUUUGUAAGCCUAGUACUUAUUCCAUUGGUGUCUUUUGCCAAACCAUUAAGUUACAGGGACGUAAAUACACCAACAUAAGUUGUCAUGCAUAUGUGUGUGUGUAUUUCUAAGUCAUUUGACUGCGGCCAUGCUGGAGCACCACCUUUAGUCGAACAAAUCGACCCCAGGACUUAUUCUUUGGAAGCCUAGUACUUAUUCUAUCGAUUUCUUUUGCUGAACUGCUAAGUUACGGGGACGUAAACACACCAGCAUUGGUUGUCAAGCGAUGUUAGGGGGACAAACACAGACACACAAACAUAUAUAUACAUAUAUACGACAGGCUUCUUUCAGUUUCCAUCUACCAAAUCCACUCACAAGGCUUUGGUCAGC
Molecule: long non-coding RNA, 775 nt
Organism: Octopus bimaculoides (California two-spot octopus)
Lineage: Eukaryota; Metazoa; Mollusca; Cephalopoda; Octopoda; Octopodidae
Source: RefSeq, a predicted model, not a curated record